Molecule: transfer RNA, 73 nt
Filed under: Marmota monax (woodchuck)
Lineage: Eukaryota; Metazoa; Chordata; Mammalia; Rodentia; Sciuridae
Description: tRNA.Ala
Rfam family: tRNA (bases 7-63)
About the family: Transfer RNA (tRNA) molecules are approximately 80 nucleotides in length. Their secondary structure includes four short double-helical elements and three loops (D, anti-codon, and T loops).
Source: RNAcentral
GGUAUGUAGCUCAAUGGUAGAGCACUUGCUUGGCAUGUGUGAUGCCCUGGGUUCAAUCCCCAGGACUGUAACA